ACUCCUACGGGAGGCAGCAGUAAGGAAUAUUGGACAAUGCUCGCAAGAGUGAUCCAGCCAUUCCGCGUGCAGGAUGACUGCCCUAUGGGUUGUAAACUGCUUUUAGAUGGGAAGAAAGUGCGACAUUUAUGUUGUUUUGACGGUACCAUCAGAAUAAGGACCGGCUAACUCCGUGCCAGCAGCCGCGGUAAUACGGAGGGUCCAAGCGUUAUCCGGAAUCAAUUGGGUUUAAAGGGUCCGCAGGCGGACGUAUAAGUCAGUGGUGAAAGCCUACAGCUUAACUGUAGAACUGCCAUUGAUACUGUAUGUCUUGAAUUCGGUCGAAGUGGGCGGAAUGUGUCAUGUAGCGGUGAAAUGCAUAGAUAUGGACACAGAACACCGAUAGGCGAAGGCAGCUCACUAGGCCUGAAUUGACGCUCAGGGACGAAAGCGUGGGGAGCGAACAGGAUUAGAUACCCUGGUAGGAUA
Molecule: ribosomal RNA, 468 nt
Filed under: uncultured bacterium
Lineage: Bacteria
Description: bacterial SSU rRNA
Rfam family: Bacterial small subunit ribosomal RNA
Source: RNAcentral